Long non-coding RNA from Anthonomus grandis grandis, 698 nucleotides. RefSeq lists it as uncharacterized. The transcript is spliced from 2 exons. Lineage: Eukaryota; Metazoa; Arthropoda; Insecta; Coleoptera; Curculionidae. The record is from RefSeq and is a predicted model, not a curated record.
CCGAUUAUCAUCCUAGAGUUCAAUUUUGUCGAUGGCUUCUGGAUCACAUCAUUGCACAACCAAAUUUUUUAUGAUAUGUUUUGUGGACCGAUGAAGCCUCUUUCACAAGAGACGGUAUUUUUAAUAGUAGGAAUAGCCAUGUUUGGGACGAAGAAAAUCCUUAUACAAUUUUUCCAAGAAAACAUCAGAAUCGUUGGUCUGUCAACGUAUGGGCAGGCAUUGUUGAUGAUUAUUUAAUUGGGCCAUACCUUCUACCGGAACGGUUAACAUUACCUAUUUAUCUACGUUUCUUGGAGGAAGUUCUCCCAGAAGUCCUUGAAAAUGUUUCAUUAAACGUUAGACAGCAAAUGUGGUUUCAGCAUGAUGGAGCGCCGAAAUAAUUUUGAAAUCAUUUUGAAAUCAUUCAAAACGAGGAUCAAAUGUUUAGUGUAGUCCGCCGAAAUCAUGUGCGGCGUUUAAAUCAGUCUAUUGAAAUUGGAGGAAGACAUUUUGAAUAAUUGUUGUGAUGGUACCAUAUACAAAAGGGCCGUAGUGGCGUAGUGACACAUUUCCGGACAUGAGUUCCUAUACUCAAAUGGAUUCUACUGUUGCACUGAACAACCCCUAGAAGUUUGAUCCUAUAGUUCUGAAACACCCUGUAUAAUCUCAUAUAAAGCUACUUAACGAGUUUAUUGAAAUAAACAUAUUUUAUAAGCGUG